This 764-nucleotide ribosomal RNA is filed under the name uncultured bacterium. Its description in RNAcentral is "bacterial SSU rRNA". It matches the Rfam family "Bacterial small subunit ribosomal RNA", at positions 62 to 824 of the family's 1533-position model. The record is from RNAcentral.
UCGACGAAGCACCUUAUUUGAUUUUCUUCGGAACUGAAGAUUUGGUGACUGUAGUGGCGGACGGGUGAGUAACGCGUGGGUAACCUGCCCUGUACAGGGGGAUAACAAUCAGAAAUGACUGCUAAUACCGCAUAAGACCACAGCACCGCAUGGUGCAGAGGUAAAAACUCCGGUGGUACAGGAUGGACCCGCGUCUGAUUAGCUGGUUGGUGAGGUAACGGCUCACCAAGGCGACGAUCAGUAGCCGGCUUGAGAGAGUGAACGGCCACAUUGGGACCGAGACACGGCCCAAACUCCUACGGGAGGCAGCAGUGGGGAAUAUUGCACAAUGGGGGGAACCCUGAUGCAGCGACGCCGCGUGAGUGAAGAAGUAUCUCGGUAUGUAAAGCUCUAUCAGCAGGGAAGAAAAUGACGGUACCUGACUAAGAAGCCCCGGCUAACUACGUGCCAGCAGCCGCGGUAAUACGUAGGGGGCAAGCGUUAUCCGGAAUUACUGGGUGUAAAGGGUGCGUAGGUGGUAUGGCAAGUCAGAAGUGAAAACCCAGGGCUUAACUCUGGGACUGCUUUUGAAACUGUCAGACUGGAGUGCAGGAGAGGUAAGCGGAAUUCCUAGUGUAGCGGUGAAAUGCGUAGAUAUUAGGAGGAACAUCAGUGGCGAAGGCGGCUUACUGGACUGAAACUGACACUGAGGCACGAAAGCGUGGGGAGCAAACAGGAUUAGAUACCCUGGUAGUCCACGCCGUANACGAUGAAUACUAGGUGUC